Molecule: RNase P RNA, 423 nt
Filed under: Candidatus Anammoximicrobium sp.
Lineage: Bacteria; Pseudomonadati; Planctomycetota; Planctomycetia; Pirellulales; Pirellulaceae
Description: RNase P RNA component class A
Rfam family: Bacterial RNase P class A
About the family: Ribonuclease P (RNase P) is a ubiquitous endoribonuclease, found in archaea, bacteria and eukarya as well as chloroplasts and mitochondria. Its best characterised activity is the generation of mature 5'-ends of tRNAs by cleaving the 5'-leader elements of precursor-tRNAs.
Source: RNAcentral
GAAGUGGACCGGACGGCCGCCGGCCGCGGUCGCCCUUGGGCGGCCUGUGGCGGGAGGAAAGUCCGGGCUCCGCAGGACAGGGUGGUCGGUAACGCCGACCGGCCGCGAGGCCAGGGAAAGUGCCACAGAAAACAUACCGCCGAUGGCCGCGCGCGGGCGUUUCACGCCUGGGAGCGGAUCAGGUAAGGGUGAAAAGGUGCGGUAAGAGCGCACCAGCAGCCGAGGUGACUCGGCUGGCUCGGUAAACCCCACCCGGAGCAAGGCCAAACAGGGAGCAGUUCGCUGCGGCGAACGGGAGCCGGUCCGGCUCGCUAUCGACUUCCGGGUAGGCUGCUGGAGGCGUCGAGCAAUCGGCGUCCUAGAGAAAUGACCGUCCCCUCGCUUGUCGAGGGACAGAACCCGGCUUACAGGUCCACUUCGAGG